This 73-nucleotide transfer RNA is filed under the name Cordylochernes scorpioides. RNAcentral describes it as "tRNA-Thr". It matches the Rfam family "tRNA". Rfam says of the family: Transfer RNA (tRNA) molecules are approximately 80 nucleotides in length. Their secondary structure includes four short double-helical elements and three loops (D, anti-codon, and T loops). Lineage: Eukaryota; Metazoa; Arthropoda; Arachnida; Pseudoscorpiones; Chernetidae. The record is from RNAcentral.
UCCAGGGUAGCCUAGUGGACAUGGCAUCUGCCCGGUAAGCGGAACAAUGUGGGUUCGAUUCCUAUUCCUGGAC